This is a small nuclear RNA of Pongo abelii (Sumatran orangutan), 107 nucleotides long. The record is from Ensembl. Lineage: Eukaryota; Metazoa; Chordata; Mammalia; Primates; Hominidae.
GUGCUUGGCUCAGCAGCACAGCUACUGAAAUUGGAAUGAUACAGAGAAGAUUAGCGUGGCCCCUGCACAGGGAUGACACACAAAUCUGUGAAGUGUUACAUAAAAAA